This 463-nucleotide ribosomal RNA is filed under the name Microbacterium sp. RNAcentral's name for it is "partial 16S ribosomal RNA". It matches the Rfam family "Bacterial small subunit ribosomal RNA", at positions 963 to 1427 of the family's 1533-position model. Lineage: Bacteria; Bacillati; Actinomycetota; Actinomycetes; Micrococcales; Microbacteriaceae. The record is from RNAcentral.
GAAGAACCUUUCCCAGGCUUGACAUAUAAGAGAACGGUCCAGAAAUGGUCAAGUCUUUUGGCACUCGUAAACACGUGGUGCAUAGUUGUGGUCACCUCGUGUCUUGAGAUAUUUGGUUAAAUCCCCCAACGAGCGCACCCCUCUUUUUAUGUUUUCACCACGUAAUGGUGGGGACUCUUUGGAUACUCCCGGGGUCAACUCGGAGGAAGGGGGGGAGGAGGUCAAAUCUUCAUGCCCCCUAUGUCUUGGGCUUCACGCAUGCUACAAUGGCCGGUACAAAGGGGGGCAACACCGUGAGGUGGAGAGAAUCCCCAAAAACCGGUCUCAGUUUGGAUUUAGGUCUGCAACUCUACCUCACGAAAUCGGAGUCGCUAGUAAUCUCAGAUCACCAACGGUGCGGUGAAUACGUUUCCGGGUCUUGGCCCCCCGCCCGUCAACUCCGAAAGUCGGGACCCCCGAAAGC